This 455-nucleotide ribosomal RNA is filed under the name uncultured bacterium. Its description in RNAcentral is "bacterial SSU rRNA". It matches the Rfam family "Bacterial small subunit ribosomal RNA", at positions 349 to 793 of the family's 1533-position model. The record is from RNAcentral.
CAGCAGUGGGGAAUAUUGCACAAUGGGGGGAAACCCUGAUGCAGCCAUGCCGCGUGUGUGAAGAAGGCCUUCGGGUUGUAAAGCACUUUUCAGUAGGGAGGAAGGUAGUGUAGUUAACACCUGCAUUAUUUGACGUUUACCUACAGAAGAAGCACCGGCUAACUCCGUGCCAGCAGCCGCGGUAAUACGGAGGGUGCGAGCGUUAAUCGGAAUUACUGGGCGUAAAGCGCAUGCAGGCGGCCUGUUAAGUCAGAUGUGAAAGCCCGGGGCUUAACCUCGGAAUUGCAUUUGAAACUGGCAGGCUAGAGUCUUGUAGAGGGGGGUAGAAUUUCAGGUGUAGCGGUGAAAUGCGUAGAGAUCUGAAGGAAUACCAGUGGCGAAGGCGGCCCCCUGGACAAAGACUGACGCUCAGAUGCGAAAGCGUGGGGAGCAAACAGGAUUAGAUACCCUGGUAG